Molecule: long non-coding RNA, 4615 nt
Organism: Stegostoma tigrinum
Lineage: Eukaryota; Metazoa; Chordata; Chondrichthyes; Orectolobiformes; Stegostomatidae
Exons: 3
Source: RefSeq, a predicted model, not a curated record
AAGACUGGCGCUUACAAGAGGGUCUUGGAAAUUAGUUAGAGAUAUCAUCUUGAAGACAGACAAUUAAUCAAUCAAUUAGGGAACGCCGGUGUAUAUUACGAUAUGUCAAAAGCAAAAAGAGGGAAAAUAGAAAUAAAACGCUAGCUAGCGAGCUCUGGGGCACAUUUUAACGAACUUGAACUAAACACGCGGUAAAAUGACAGGAAUGCAUUCCCGGUUCGUGUCGGUUUAAAACGUCAAAUGAGAGAAAGAAUCGUGUGUCCAAGUGAUUUGAACUUGGCAGUGGGAGCAGUGAGGCUUCAGGAGAGGGAGCUGAUGGAUUAUGCGCAGAUCACACUCACUGCGAGGUCGUGAUCUUGAAGAAGUCGAUUGAACUGAACCGUUCCCGGACCGACCGCCAAAUUAUACUUGGGAGGCAGGUUCUAUUUUUGUUUUCAAAAAAUGUAAACUGGAUUCUGAGAGAGCGAUUGAAAAGCUAAAUAUAUUAUUAUUGACGCGAAUCUGAACCAGACUGGCGUCCAUUGGUGUGCAGAUCUGAUCUUAAAUGCAAUCACUCGUGUGCUGUGAGAACUUUCACGAGACGAGAUAUCUCAAGGCAGAUGUGAGCAAAAAACACGGGUAUUUCUGUUAUGGAUCACAUACAGUAAUAUUGGAAAUUUUUUUUUAUCUAAUAACUCCAUCCUGCUCUGGUAUUUGUUUUGGAGAAUUCCGCUCAUGAACUGCCGCACUUCUAAUUCUAGCAAGCAAGGACGCAAAAACUUCUGCUUGGCUGACUUUGAUUGCAUGCAGUGCAUCCUUGCAUUUACUAGUAGGCAAGAGCGGUAGUAUGCAAUUUUAAUAUUGUCCUUCUAACGUUUCUAGUCAACUAAUCGUAGUUGCAAAGACUGGGAAUGAAUCUGUGUGGCUGAUUCAAAGUACCAUUACUAAAUUGAUUAUGGUAAAACGCAAUGAAUAAAGCGAUUUGACAUAAUUGCCGCCACUCAGAUAGGAGGCAUGUCUCUCGAUUUCAAAGUUCAAAACAGGGAUGCAACACAAUAAUACAACGGAAAGAACAUCGUUCACGGGUAUGUUCACCCACAACCAAGCGUAUUAUACACGCCGAAUAACACUGUAGUUCUGCUUUUUUUGCAGUACUCACCGUUUCAUUGUUUUCAUUUUAAUAAUUGCAAAGUGCCCGAUGUUUUAAUUGCAUAUCACCAUGUCACAUGAGACAUCCGCUGCUUUUUGAAUAUGUAAAGCACGGCGAGCUUCGGCACACGCAGCUGCGAUUCUGAACAGGCAGCUCACCCACCUUCUUACCGUUUUCUUCUCAUUCGGUUGAAAUACAAACGGCCAUUCACACCCGGUGCAUGUAUUUGCGAUCAGGACAGCUAAGACAUAAAACUGCAAUCGAGAUUAGUAAAGCACCAUCUAUCCCAUUGGGACUCACACUUGCAAAUGACGGGAGCCUCGUCCCCUUGGAAAUCGCCUCCUCUAGCACUAAAUUGCAUCAAUUCACGCUCGGGUUAUUCACACAUCGUUAAAAUGAGUAACAGUUUUGUAACCGGUAUGUCAAUUUACUUCUGUUAUCCUCCUCUUUUGCUGUGAGGAUCACUGGGAGAUACCGUUACCCAUUUCAACAUUUUAGUCGCCACGUUUGCGGCCAAGUGCAAUGAAAAGCUAUCUUAUUUCCGAUAACUCACAGACUACCCUCCUGUUUUAUGAUAUGGCUCGUGUUCGGAUUUGAAUUUUAAACAAUGUUUUGCAUAAGAACAGAAUCCUUUUCGAAAAUACUGAGAAGUGGUGAAGUAUAAAGAGGGUAAAAUCCAAGCCGUUAGCACGACCACCUCUUUGCGAUCCACGGGGUCUUUUAUUACGUUCCCCCCCCCGUCCGCCCCCACCACUUCAAUUAAUUAACACUUUGUUGCCAGUGAAGGAAACAUUUCUGGCCAGGACUUCAGGCGGCACGAGCCAGAGACAAUGUUUUAUUGUGUUAAGCCAUAGCUCUUUCUGGACCCCUGUUGCUAUGAAAACCAAACUGAUCAGCUGCCUGCAAAACUUGCAACGUAUGAAUGAAGAUUUGUGCAAAAGUAAACACAGCCAGCAAACUUUGUUGUUGGCUCCACAUUAUUUUUGUCCAGAAAGAGCAGCUCAUGACACAAUCAUGUUUUCUUGAUUCGAACAUGUGAGUUUUAGUUUUACAGCAAUUCGAAUUUAAUAACAAACACCAACGGUUUAUCUAAACUUUGCACCAAAAUUUCCUCGACUAUCUUCCCCCUAUCUCUGGGGUUUCAGAUAGUAAACUCGUCAAUCAAAUAACUUGCCACUGGUUGUAAAGUCUUCUGCGUUCAGGAACAGAUUUUCUGGAGGUGGCAAGUCGAGGUUUCUAAAAUCAGGAUCAUUUUGUUACUUUCGUUUAGUGUCUCGUGCGUUUCGAAUGUGUGUUGCGAAGGACCAUCGGUCCAUUUUCGCUGCUUUCAAACUGACUGCGGUUCUCAGAUUUGAAAAUAAACUUUGGCUGGAAAAAUGGUAACCGGAAAUUUCGGAUUGUGAGUGUUCAGUUCUUGGAACAUUUGACAAACAACUCCCUAAAGUCCAUGACAUUACAAAAUAAAAUAGCUGCACCUCUCGUUAUAACUUAAUGGAGGGUUUUAAAGACGAGGAAACAAACCACACGGGGUCUCAAUUCUUAAAACAUAAUUAAUUCAAAAAUAAUUUCGCCAAUCAUAACUGGCCUCAAAACGUCCAAUUAGUAUUUUCUUUAGAAAGAAUGGAUCUCUUCGUACACUAGCAAGUGGAUUUGCAAACUAGUACCAACUUGUUGCUCGGUACAUACUUUAUGGUGCCUUCCAAUUAUUUAGCCCCUCUGUAGAAUAAACGAGUCCAACGUUUCCAUAUUUGGGCGAGAUAACACAAAUAUUUUGUAUCCAUUCAUUACUUACGUUACAAGACACAGGUCAAAACGUCUGUAACACUUAACAAAAAUGCCCAGGACUUUUCUCAGUAAUCAUGGUCUCGAUACGAGUGCUUUAAUACAUAAUUCUCCAUUGUUCUGAUCAUCAGAUUUCAGCUGAUAAAUGCUGGCACCGAAGUAGGGAAUAUGAUGACCGACUAGGUGGGGAGAGAGAGGGCGCUCGAAGAAGGAUAACUGGCACACUGGAGGUUAAGUGCAACCCGCUUGUGAAAGUUCGAACUAAUUCAAUUUAAUGGACGAACAUUUCCAAGUUACAGUUUAAAAAAAACUAUUUUUUUUCGCUGAAUACGUUGUUAUCACCUGGAAUAAAACGGUUAUCAACAUAUGUUGCACAAAAUAUUGUCGCAAAUCUACAGCGUUACCGAGGGGCUAUAUCUAAUAAAAUGAAUAUAAAACAAUGUUGUUAAGUCCUGACACUCAGUUACACCGGUCAAUUAAAUCAUCCAAGUUAUCUCGGACGUAAACGCUCGUCGAUUUGUCACAGUGCAAAUCAGAUGCGAAUUAAACAUAAAUAUAAUUAUUUAUUCUACUGUUCACGCAAUUAAUGUCGUUAUUAUUAAUUUUGUAAUCAAGAAGCAAAAGUAAAAAUGAGACUUUUUGGCAAACUAUGUCGUCACAUUUUUUCUUGAAGAAUCGCCCAAUGAAAUUUCGGUAAGCCGUGUUAGCAUCAUUGAUUGUUAAGUUUAACACGUGUACAUUUCAUAUCAACAUGUAUGCGAGUUCCCUACUUCGCCAACUGAACUCAAAGUACUUCUAAGGUUCUCAUAAAAGUUUUACAUAAGUCACAAAAUUUAGACAGGAUAUAAGAAACCAUCUAUUUUUCAUCCUACGCUGGAAUGAUUUCGUGAAACUAACAAAGACCAUUUGAAAAUUUGAAUAAUGUGCUAUUAUCGUCGCAAAGGAAGUCAACACCGAGGCUGAACAAAUAUUUACUUUUAGAGAAAGAGACAGUAUCCUUACAAUGGCUCUUUGUCAACUUAUACGUUAUGUUAAAAGAUUGUGAGAUGGUGAAAGACUUAUUGUAUGUUUUUGCAUUUUUCUUCGAGCUUAAUAUGCAGGGCGCGAUAUUGAAACAUAAACGGAGCAUCUAGCAUUUUGCUCAUUCAAUGUGUCAGCUACUGUGUAGAAAACAGAAUAUCCAUUCGCCAAAAUUGAGAAAUGGUCGUUACCUGGUCGCUUGCAGCUCAUUACAUCUCACUUAAUUGGCCGUGAAGCGUUCAGGACAUUCGAGAAAGGACUCUCCCGCAUCAGACAAAAGCAGAUAAGCCAAUCAUAUUUAGCUGACAUUUGACCUUUGCCAAGCUGAAGACUCCUACCUCUGCGGCAGUCAGUCAACCGUAGUUAAAACGGCAAACAACACCUAAAGGGUGACGAGUCCUGGAGCAGCGCUAAGGUAAAAACCACUGGAGCAGUGAGCGGAAACAAGUCCCAAAGCAGAACGAGAGGCAGCGCGAGGGGAAGCAUGUCCCGGAGUAGCGAGGGGAAACGAGCCCCAGAGCAGUGAAGGGCAGCUUGGCCUGGAGCAGCACAAUAAGUGUCUCCUGAUGCAACGAGAGGAAACAAGUUCCAGUGCAGCGCGAGGAGAAAGAGCCCUGGAGAUAUACAGCUGAGUGCCGGUGCAGAGCGGACUGAGGCUUGGAGCGGAGCUGGACUCAUGUUGGA